Molecule: long non-coding RNA, 641 nt
Organism: Daphnia magna
Lineage: Eukaryota; Metazoa; Arthropoda; Branchiopoda; Diplostraca; Daphniidae
Exons: 2
Source: RefSeq, a predicted model, not a curated record
CUCCUGUGAUUUUGAAUUUUGUGAUUUUGUAGAUGAGUCCCGUGAUCCAUGUGCUAUCGUAUGCUUUUUCUAUAUCAAGGAAUACCGCCGUUGUGGAUUUAUUUUCGUUGAAUCCGUUGUUGAUUGCAGACUCUAGACGUAUUAGAUUAUCAGUUGUUGUACACCCGUUCCUAAACCCGGUCUGGAAUUUUGGGAGGAGUCGAUUUUUUUCAGCAUACCAUUUUAAUCUGUUAUUCAUUAUUCUUUCCAGGACUUUGCAGAGGCAUGAUGUGAGGGAUAUUGGCCUAUAGGAAUCAGGCAAAUUCGGUGGCUUGUUCGGCUUUGGUAUGGGUACGACGAUGACAUUCUUCCAUUCUGGAGGUAGAUGGUGGCUCCUACGGCUUCUAUGUUUGGUGAUUGUGGAAGAGAUAUGGAGGCCGCUCGUAUAUUCUUUUUGAUGAGGAUCGCUACGCCUCCACCGUGAUUGUUCCGGUUUAGGUAGAACGUAUUGAACGCUGAGAUUUUAGGUACGUAUCCAUCUUUCCAAAAAGUUUCACUGAUUAUAACAAUGUGUGGGUCAUGGUAUCUUAUGUUGUAUUUAAAUUCUUGUAAUUUUGCUUUAUAAAGACUUCGGGCAUUCCAUUGGAUGAUCUUGAUCGGCU